This 266-nucleotide ribosomal RNA is filed under the name uncultured prokaryote. Its description in RNAcentral is "partial 16S ribosomal RNA". It matches the Rfam family "Bacterial small subunit ribosomal RNA", at positions 524 to 789 of the family's 1533-position model. The record is from RNAcentral.
UACGGAGGGUGCAAGUGUUAUUCGGAAUCACUGGGCGUAAAGAGCACGUAGGCGGAUAGGCAAGUCAGAUGUGAAAUCCCGGAGCUCAACUCCGGAACUGCAUUUGAUACUGCCUGUCUUGAGUGAGGUAGAGGGGAGUGGAAUUCCCGGUGUAGAGGUGAAAUUCGUAGAUAUCGGGAGGAACACCAGAGGCGAAGGCGACUCCCUGGGCCUCUACUGACGCUGAGGUGCGAAAGCGUGGGGAGCAAACAGGAUUAGAUACCCGU